Long non-coding RNA from Drosophila grimshawi, 1113 nucleotides. RefSeq lists it as uncharacterized. NCBI's taxonomy places the organism in Eukaryota, Metazoa, Arthropoda, Insecta, Diptera, Drosophilidae. The transcript has 3 exons. The record is from RefSeq and is a predicted model, not a curated record.
UCUAGUUUUUGUUUUUAUUUACGAGUGUGUUCAUUUUGAAAGGUACGUGAAAAACAAGGAAAGAAUUGAGGAAUAAAGUUUGUGGGCUAAUUCCAGCUGCUAUUUCAUAAGAAAAAAGCGACCACAUCUUAUCAGCUGGAAAUUGAAUAAUUGCAAAAAUUCGGGCAGUCAUCAGGUAAUGCCGAGGAACAACAAGCGAUGUAGGAGAUCCAGUUACCUGAAACAUACGCGGUCGCCACUUGUAGUUUCGCUCGCUGGGCAUUGGAUCGAUUGGCAGAAUGCUAAAAUGAGGUCGCGUUUUGCUUUUGCCAUCCGGCACACCAUCAUCAAAGUCCCAAAAUUUAAUCAGUCCAUACAUAUCCAUAAGCGUGGGUAUAAUCAGCUUCUUCAUGGCGCUCGCGAGUCUCCCUCAGAGUAUGUCGAGGCUCUGAGGCACAAAUCAAAGCCAAAGGCGCCUCCCGAUAGCAGGUGUCAACGUUGGACGUGAUAAAUAAUAACUGAUUGCGAGAAUUGCAAAUGCGGCGCUGCUACGGCUACCACAAUUCCGAUGUCGAUGUCAAAUGACUAUGCGUGUAUUGUAUGUCUGCCCUUUUGUUGUGAAAAGUCUGUGAUGGUGUUGAUGAUAUCACUUUGAUAAGCAUUUACAUACGAUUGGGGAAGGGGAGUGGGACAACCGGACCGUAUUGUGUUGCUCUGUUGGUUAUUGUCUACCCUAGGCAUUCCGAGUUAAGGGCUAGCUUCUGGUGCUUGAGGCUGAAGAGCAGCUGAGUCCAGAGUUUUGAUUAGAUCAAUAUAAGACUUUCAUUGAUGGCAUGAGCCGGCACCCACAAUGCAAUGCAUCAACAGUUAUAUUCACUUCGGUCUCAAUAGCUCGUAUGUCUGAGUCAUGACAUUAUAGUUUGAUCUCGGUGGUGCUGGGGCUUUACCUUUGUUCUGCUUGAUUAGUUUUUACCCCAUUUUCAAUUAUAGUACAGGCUGUCUGAAUUGAAACAGCUAAUUGCUAUUCUUCCUAAGCCUUAAUUAUAAACAUUUUGUGGUAUAUGUGAGCAGAGAUAGUUUGAUUAUAAAAUAUCGAACUCGAUUGGAAGGCUUAAUCGAUCAAAUUGCUAUCGG